ACCGACCGGCGACCGAAAAAAAAAAAUCAAAAAAGAAGGAGAACCGGAUAAUGUAUAUGUUAUUUUAUUAGAGUUUAUUGAACAAUUCAGAGAACUGAUUUCUUGUCUUCACAUCCGCGUUCUCGGGCGCUCUUCUCCUGGGAUCAUGAUUAUGUCUUAGGCUUGAAAAAGGAAUUUCUAGUGGCUCCUCGAAAGCAUCGUGAGAGUUAAAUUUUGGAUUGUCGGUUGGAUUAAGAGACUCGGGAUUAGGUGGAAUUGAGGAUUUGCCAAAUUCUUAGAACGAAGCAAAGAAUAUAAUUCGAGAUUGUUAUUGUCUUCUAGGCGAAGGUUAAAUAAAGUCUUUAAUAUUUAGUUGAUGAAUUGAGAGUUUUGUAAUAAUGAGAUUCUUUUUUUAGG
Molecule: long non-coding RNA, 396 nt
Organism: Asparagus officinalis (garden asparagus)
Lineage: Eukaryota; Viridiplantae; Streptophyta; Magnoliopsida; Asparagales; Asparagaceae
Exons: 3
Source: RefSeq, a predicted model, not a curated record